CCUACGGGAGGCUGCAGUAGGGAAUCUUCCACAAUGGGCGAAAGCCUGAUGGAGCAACGCCGCGUGGGUGAAGAAGGUCUUCGGAUCGUAAAACCCUGUUGUUAGAGAAGAAAGAGCGUGAGAGUAACUGUUCACGUUUCGACGGUAUCUAACCAGAAAGCCACGGCUAACUACGGGCCCGCAGCCGCGGUAAUACGUAGGGGGCAAGCGUUAUCCGGAUUUAUUGGGCGUAAAGGGAGCGCAGGCGGUCUUUUAAGUCUGAUGUGAAAGCCUUCGGCUUAACCGGAGUAGUGCAUUGGAAACUGGCAGACUUGAGUGCAGAAGAGGUGAGUGGAACUCCAUGUGUAGCGGUGAAAUGCGUAGAUAUAAGGAAGAACACCAGUGGCGAAGGCGGCUCUCUGGUCUGUAACUGACGCUGAGGUUCGAAAGCGUGGGUAGCAAACAGGAUUAGAUACCCGUGUAGUC
This 465-nucleotide ribosomal RNA is filed under the name uncultured bacterium. RNAcentral describes it as "partial 16S ribosomal RNA". It matches the Rfam family "Bacterial small subunit ribosomal RNA", at positions 338 to 795 of the family's 1533-position model. The record is from RNAcentral.